GAUGAAGAACGUAGUGAAAUGCGAUACGUAGUGUGAAUUGCAGAAUUCAGUGAAUCAUCGAAUCUUUGAACGCACAUUGCACCUCUCGGUAUUCCGGGAGGUAUGCCUGUUCGAGCGUCAUUUGUACCCUCAAGCUCUGCUUGGUGUUGGGUGUUUGUUCCGCCUCUGUGUGUGAACUCGCCUCAAAACAAUUGGCAGCCGGCGUACUUGUUUCGGAGCGCAGCACAUUUUGCGAUCCAGAUCAACGUACAGCGGCAUCCAAGAAGCCUUAUUUAACGCUCAUGACCUCGGAUCAGGUAGGGAUACCCGCUGAACUUAAGCAUAUCAAUAAGCGGAGGA
Molecule: unclassified non-coding RNA, 339 nt
Filed under: soil metagenome
Description: partial contains 5.8S ribosomal RNA, internal transcribed spacer 2, and large subunit ribosomal RNA
Rfam family: 5.8S ribosomal RNA (bases 1-120)
Source: RNAcentral